GCAGUAUGGAUGAUCGCUUGGACGCGAA
Molecule: small RNA, 28 nt
Filed under: Bombyx mori (domestic silkworm)
Lineage: Eukaryota; Metazoa; Arthropoda; Insecta; Lepidoptera; Bombycidae
Description: ovarian small RNA-5283
Source: RNAcentral